ACAAGCAUUUGGAUAUCAGCUGGAGAAUGGCAUACCUAUAGAAAGUUGGUUUGCCGAUCGUUCGGAUAACGAAUUAAUGAAAUUAUUACCAUUUUUGGAAAAUCUAGUAAACUGGGGAGGCGAUGUAAGGCCGCGCAUUAGAGAACAGUUUCGAUUAUUCAGCUUUCUACCACCGGAUUAAUUUAACUAGCGUGCACAAAAUUCAA
This is a long non-coding RNA of Formica exsecta, 206 nucleotides long. RefSeq lists it as uncharacterized. Lineage: Eukaryota; Metazoa; Arthropoda; Insecta; Hymenoptera; Formicidae. The transcript is spliced from 3 exons. The record is from RefSeq and is a predicted model, not a curated record.